Molecule: long non-coding RNA, 2719 nt
Organism: Corvus hawaiiensis (hawaiian crow)
Lineage: Eukaryota; Metazoa; Chordata; Aves; Passeriformes; Corvidae
Exons: 3
Source: RefSeq, a predicted model, not a curated record
AAUGAACAAGAAUUUCUUUGGGUUUUGCAUGUAUAAAUAAUAUGUGAAAAGUCUGGUGAAGAACCACGUGUGAUGGAAUGGUUUUCACUGCACAGCCCAUGCAUGUGUGGAUGAAAUAAUUUCCAUUGCACAUCCUGGCCAGAAUAAAGUAAUAUAUAAUUCUCUAACGUGGAAAAGAUGUUGUUGGAGAGUUUCUAUUUUUCCCGUAGUUUCAGUGAUGAUAGAGCGCUGCCUUCGCAGAGUAGGUCAAUCCCACCCGGAACGGGAAGCUGCGGCGUGUGGGGAACGAAUCCCCCCCGGCCUCCCGCCCCAGGGCGUCCCCCUGGGAGCAGCCGUGCUCCAGGCCGUGACUGUCACCUGCACACCUAAGGACUCGGAACGGGCGUUACGCACCACGGCUGUGGCAGGGACAGGGUCAGGUGCGGCCACAGAAGUGGCCACGGCACUGUCCGCACGCUGUCCCUGCCGCUUCUCCCGCAGCCGCCGGCGGGGGGCAGGAGCUCCCGGCCACCCGUGCUCCUGCAGCCAAGGGGCCACCGGGACACUGCGGGGGCUCGUGGAAGCCAGGGGCCAUCGUGACACAGCGCGGCCGCACGGAACCCGCGGUGCGUUGUGACCCCUUGGCACCCAAGAGACCCUUUGUGACGCUGUGGAACUUCUCGGAACCCCGGGGACCGCUGUGACACCACGGAACCUCGGGGAACCCCAGAGACUCUGGUGACGCUACAGAUCGCCUACAAAAAACGACGUUCCAAAAUACCAGAAUAACCUAGUUUCAAAACAAUAGAAAACCAAAUUUCAAAAUACCAAAGAAAACCAGGUCUCAAAAAUCUCAGAUUUAAAAUACCAGAAUUUUAACCUAACCCUAGUUCCAAAAUACCAAAGUGACCCCGUUUCAAAAUACCAGAACAGCAGGUUCAGAAACAGCAAAAUAAUUCCAUUUCAAAAUACCAGAAUUUCAAGUUCAAAAUAUCAAACUGCAAAAUACUAACUUUCAGAUCUCUUAUAUGGUCAGGAUUCCCAAACCCAAAAAAUGCAAUAUUGUCAAAGUGGGAUCUGUGCUACCAAAAUGGAUAUUUUCUCCUCUGAAAAGCUUUUCCCUGAUGACCACCAAUCCCUGUAUUUAUUAUUAAUUGUACGGCCAAAUGCAAUAAGAAUUUUAUUUUAAAAGCAAACUCUUGUAGAAAUUUUCUGCUUAGAUUAUGUCUGCGAGAACUGGCAUUCAGGCCAGAGAGCUGUGGUUGGGAGCAAAGGAUGGAGUAAAUCUGCUCCCCGGAUGGACAAGGAAAGACUGAGUAGCAGGAGCAUUGCAACUUCUGGGUCCUAUUGAGUAUGAAGCUUCACGUUUUUUGGUGUAUUCAUCGUGUCUCAAAAGGGACCUGCCCCAUGUCAAAGAUGACAUCUAAAACUGAGGCUUCUGAUAGGCUAACCUGGCUGUCAUGGGACCUUCUGAGAUGCCUGAGGAGGACUCAUUUUGUGUCCAAAGUGGAUUCACGUUGCCAUCCGAAAGAUAAGCUGUGGGCUUUGAGUCAGAGAUGGGAUCAUAGCAGGGUAGCGGGGUGGAAAUUCUCAGGAAAGAUUUAAUAAUUAGCGCAGGGGUAAGGGAUAUCCUCUAAGGGGCCUCUUAGGACAGCUAAAGGCAGCAGGUCUACUUUUGAUUGCAACUGUAGGGUGUGCAGAGCAGUUCUAGUCUGUCUUGUGUUGUCUAGCGUGUCUUUGGGAUCCCUUGGAUUAGCUAUCUCUGCUUUUUCCCCUUGAGGACCUUAUCGCAAGCAUCGUUUGCCAUCUCUAGGUCCUGGAACGUUUGCGCUUCUCAGCACGACGCCAGUAUCGUUCGUUCUUUUACUGGUGGGCUCGGCCACAUCUUGGAAGUGCAUGUCGGAUGCCUUUUGAGGCCUUGUUCCCGGCUGUAUUGCCAUCCGUCCUUUCCAGCUGUGAGUUGUAAUGUCCUGGGGCUUGUAAGGAUAUGAGGAGCAUUCUCAAUGUAGUGUUGUCUCGCAGGCGUCUUGAUCACUGUGACUGGCAGUUCUUAUAACAGGUCACUGUUAUGGUCUUGUCUUCUGCUCCUUAGAGCCUCCUCCGUCCACUGUUGCCAUGCCAUUGGUCAUCUCUUUUGGCAUUGUCUCAGUCCUCUUUCUUCUUCUCCCCGAGAGCUUUUUUUUUAUCGUUCUUGUGUCACGCUGUUUGUAGCAUAAUGUGUUGUUUGUGUUUAGCCUGGAACUGCUCUGCCCUGUGGAAUAGAGUGGGGGGUAGGUGGAAUAGAAAGAAGACUUUACAGGUAAGCUUUAGCUUUGCUUAGCCACCCGAGUCACACCUCAGACACAGCUACUGCGUACAGUCUGUGCGAGGUUCGGCGGGAGCGGUACGGCGGCAUCUUGCAGUUUUCUAGCUGUUUGUCUUAAUGCACGCUGUUGUCGGAUCCUAGGCGGUUUGCUUUGACAAAUGAGAACUUGGGAAAGGUUAAGCUUUCCUUGCGUGUCUGAGUGACUUGGACAAAUAAUUUUUUUGCAGAGGGAUAGGAUGUAAACCUGAUACGAAUGGAGGAGGCCAGAGGAGCACGGCGACGAGGCGGGUCAGCACCUGACCUCCGAGCGAUGGCCUGACUUUCAGCUCUGUUUACCUCAUCAUUCAGUUCUUCAUUUCAUUUUGAAGAUGCGAAGCACUUGGCAUGGCUGGGUCUAGGCACUGGGAAGACUGUUAGCCAGCUGAGUACCGGUGG